RNAcentral lists this ribosomal RNA (321 nucleotides) under uncultured bacterium. RNAcentral describes it as "bacterial SSU rRNA". It matches the Rfam family "Bacterial small subunit ribosomal RNA", at positions 30 to 354 of the family's 1533-position model. The record is from RNAcentral.
AUUGAACGCUGGCGGAAUGCUUUACACAUGCAAGUCGAACGGCAGCACGGGGCAACCUGGUGGCGAGUGGCGAACGGGUGAGUAAUACAUCGGAACGUGCCCAAUCGUGGGGGAUAACGUAGCGAAAGUUACGCUAAUACCGCAUACGAUCUACGGAUGAAAGCGGGGGAUCGCAAGACCUCGCGCGAAUGGAGCGGCCGAUGUCAGAUUAGGAGUUGGUGGGGUAAAGGCUCACCAAGCCGACGAUCUGUAGCUGGUCUGAGAGGACGACCAGCCACACUGGGACUGAGACACGGCCCAGACUCCUACGGGAGGCAGCAG